RNAcentral lists this ribosomal RNA (253 nucleotides) under uncultured bacterium. RNAcentral's name for it is "partial 16S ribosomal RNA". It matches the Rfam family "Bacterial small subunit ribosomal RNA", at positions 524 to 776 of the family's 1533-position model. The record is from RNAcentral.
UACGUAGGUGGCAAGCGUUGUCCGGAUUUACUGGGCGUAAAGAGCGCGCAGGCGGUCGGAUAAGUCGAAUGUGAAAGCCCCCGGCUUAACUGGGGAGGGUCAUUCGAUACUGUUCGACUGGAAGGCAGGAGAGGGAAGCGGAAUUCCCGGUGUAGCGGUGAAAUGCGUAGAUAUCAGGAGGAACACCUGUGGUGUAGACAGCUUACUGGACCAUAACUGACGCUGAGGCACGAAAGCGUGGGUAGCAAACAGG